Molecule: ribosomal RNA, 1162 nt
Filed under: Escherichia coli
Lineage: Bacteria; Pseudomonadati; Pseudomonadota; Gammaproteobacteria; Enterobacterales; Enterobacteriaceae
Description: partial 23S ribosomal RNA
Rfam family: Bacterial large subunit ribosomal RNA
Source: RNAcentral
CGCUUAGGCGUGUGACUGCGUACCUUUUGUAUAAUGGGUCAGCGACUUAUAUUCUGUAGCAAGGUUAACCGAAUAGGGGAGCCGAAGGGAAACCGAGUCUUAACUGGGCGUUAAGUUGCAGGGUAUAGACCCGAAACCCGGUGAUCUAGCCAUGGGCAGGUUGAAGGUUGGGUAACACUAACUGGAGGACCGAACCGACUAAUGUUGAAAAAUUAGCGGAUGACUUGUGGCUGGGGGUGAAAGGCCAAUCAAACCGGGAGAUAGCUGGUUCUCCCCGAAAGCUAUUUAGGUAGCGCCUCGUGAAUUCAUCUCCGGGGGUAGAGCACUGUUUCGGCAAGGGGGUCAUCCCGACUUACCAACCCGAUGCAAACUGCGAAUACCGGAGAAUGUUAUCACGGGAGACACACGGCGGGUGCUAACGUCCGUCGUGAAGAGGGAAACAACCCAGACCGCCAGCUAAGGUCCCAAAGUCAUGGUUAAGUGGGAAACGAUGUGGGAAGGCCCAGACAGCCAGGAUGUUGGCUUAGAAGCAGCCAUCAUUUAAAGAAAGCGUAAUAGCUCACUGGUCGAGUCGGCCUGCGCGGAAGAUGUAACGGGGCUAAACCAUGCACCGAAGCUGCGGCAGCGACGCUUAUGCGUUGUUGGGUAGGGGAGCGUUCUGUAAGCCUGUGAAGGUGUGCUGUGAGGCAUGCUGGAGGUAUCAGAAGUGCGAAUGCUGACAUAAGUAACGAUAAAGCGGGUGAAAAGCCCGCUCGCCGGAAGACCAAGGGUUCCUGUCCAACGUUAAUCGGGGCAGGGUGAGUCGACCCCUAAGGCGAGGCCGAAAGGCGUAGUCGAUGGGAAACAGGUUAAUAUUCCUGUACUUGGUGUUACUGCGAAGGGGGGACGGAGAAGGCUAUGUUGGCCGGGCGACGGUUGUCCCGGUUUAAGCGUGUAGGCUGGUUUUCCAGGCAAAUCCGGAAAAUCAAGGCUGAGGCGUGAUGACGAGGCACUACGGUGCUGAAGCAACAAAUGCCCUGCUUCCAGGAAAAGCCUCUAAGCAUCAGGUAACAUCAAAUCGUACCCCAAACCGACACAGGUGGUCAGGUAGAGAAUACCAAGGCGCUUGAGAGAACUCGGGUGAAGGAACUAGGCAAAAUGGUGCCGUAACUUCGGGAGAAGG